This 240-nucleotide long non-coding RNA is filed under the name Brassica napus (rape). RNAcentral describes it as "long non-coding RNA (BNAP_LNC021882)". Lineage: Eukaryota; Viridiplantae; Streptophyta; Magnoliopsida; Brassicales; Brassicaceae. The record is from RNAcentral.
AUAGAACUGAAACAAUUAAAUGUCAUUUUAAAUAGGGAAUGUGGUAAUUUCUUUUUUUUUUCAGGUAAGAGUUGGAAAGAAGUUGAUACUACUGGGCGAAUGAUUUGGUGAGCUGCCUCCUCUUCCUGUCUUUAUAUGUCAACAACAUAAUCACUUAUGAAAGCUUAUUGUCUUGGUAAUAUCCUCCCACUUCGGCUUUUGCUUUACAGCCGUCAUAGUAUUUUCUAAGAUAGUUUUCAU